UUAUUUUCAGGAAGCUUUCGGGUGGAAUGAACUUAACUUAGCGGCGGACGGGUGAGUAACGCGUGGGCAACCUACCCUGGACAGGGGGAUAACAAUGGGAAACCAUUGCUAAUACCCCAUAAUACCUUUUAGGGGCAUCCCUUUAAGGUCAAAGAAUUUCGGUACAGGAUGGGCCCGCGUCUGAUUAGCUAGUUGGUGAGGUAAUGGCUCACCAAGGCGACGAUCAGUAGCCGGCCUGAGAGGGUGAACGGCCACACUGGAACUGAGACACGGUCCAGACUCCUACGGGAGGCAGCAGUGGGGAAUAUUGCACAAUGGGCGAAAGCCUGAUGCAGCAACACCGCGUGAGCGAUGAAGGCUUUCGGGUCGUAAAGCUCUGUCCUAAGGGAAGAUAAUGACGGUACCUUAGGAGGAAGCCCCGGCUAACUACGUGCCAGCAGCCGCGGUAAUACGUAGGGGGCAAGCGUUAUCCGGAAUCAUUGGGCGUAAAGGGUGCGUAGGCGGCCCUAUAGGUCAGGGGUCAAAGGCUACGGCUCAACCGUAGUAAGCCUUUGAAACUGUAGGGCUUGAGUGCAGGAGAGGAGAGUGGAAUUCCUAGUGUAGCGGUGAAAUGCGUAGAUAUUAGGAGGAACACCAGUGGCGAAGGCGACUCUCUGGACUGCAACUGACGCUGAGGCACGAAAGCGUGGGGAGCGAACAGGAUUAGAUACCCUGGUAGUCCACGCCGUAAACGAUGAGUGCUAGGUGUCGGGGGUCGAACCUCGGUGCCGCAGCUAACGCAUUAAGCACUCCGCCUGGGGAGUACGUUCGCAAGAAUGAAACUCAAAGGAAUUGACGGGGACCCGCACAAGCAGCGGAGCAUGUGGUUUAAUUCGAAGCAACGCGAAGAACCUUACCUGGACUUGACAUCCCUCGGACCGCUUUUUAACCAAAGCCUUCCCUUCGGGGACUGAGGUGACAGGUGGUGCAUGGUUGUCGUCAGCUCG
RNAcentral lists this ribosomal RNA (986 nucleotides) under uncultured bacterium. RNAcentral's name for it is "bacterial SSU rRNA". It matches the Rfam family "Bacterial small subunit ribosomal RNA", at positions 67 to 1062 of the family's 1533-position model. The record is from RNAcentral.